AUAAGAACGAGAGACGUGAAGCUACCCAAUAAGUAACAAAAGACAACUUGUCAGUUCCAAGAGCUAUCCUUUAUUUUCCAAAAAAAGAAAAAUACACAAAGCAACAAAAUACAGCCUUAAAUUCUUAUAGGUAUGGCGACAGGAAAAUUUUACAGCGGUGAUCAUCGAACUUGUUGCUUAUCGCCGAACUUGUUGCUUCUGCUAUGGCGACUGGAGAAUCAGACGAUUCAUCACUGUUAGUCAAUCUAUUCUAUUCAUUUGGUGAUGAGGAUAUGGACUAGGGUCCUUAAAGGUUACGCAACUCCAUAUAUUUUAUGAGACAGCUAUCGACGUAGACGAGGACUUCCAAUCUAAAGAUCGUGAAGUUGAUUGUACUGGUGAGCCUCAUAUUGUUUUGCACAACGAAAAUUUAUCAUCUAUUGUCGUCCUUUAAUUUAAACUCUUAGAAAUGCUCAUUUGGUUAGUAUUAUUAGUACUUUGGUUAUCAUAUGACUUUUUGUUGAGGUGUGUGGUCAUCUCAUCUAAAAGAUUAAGCUAUUAGAGAAAGCACACUUUAUUUACUUAAUUGUCUCUUCAACACGCCCUUCCACGCGUAGGCUUCAUUCAUUUUUGUCAUUGGCCAAGCACAUAGAAAUUCCUUUUUAUAAUGGUGGCGGUGAGACUCGAACUUAUGACAUAUGCCGCCUCUGAUAUCAUAUUGAAGUCGAGACCAUCUAAUUUAAAAGUUUAAGUUGUUAGAGAGAGCACACUUUAUUUACUUAAUUGUCUCUUCGACACUUUUAAGUGUGCAUUAAACUUUCUUAUCAUAUUUUGGUGAUGAACCUAGUUUUAUUGUGUUACAAACGAGAGGUUGGUGCUGGUGGUGACUUGUUUUGACUGAUUCCUAUUGUGUUGUUUAGUUUUAGCUUGAGACUGGAAAUUUGGAUAGCUCUACAUAUAGGGGAAAUUCUGUCCGAUUUUCUGUGAAAUCCUUAUAAGAUCGACUUGGUAGGGGCUCUACCUUGAGCAGGGGUCAUGUACCUAAGUUGGAUCGUGACUGCAUUUUCUCAGUUCAAAGGACUGAGAUGCAAAAAUAAAAUUGGGUUUCCAAAAUGGAAGUAAUGCUGCAAAGGUGGAGGACGGAGUAUUACUUCAUAUUUAUUUACCUGGGUUUGUAGAAUAUAUGCAAGCUUUCUUGAUACUUGAUAUGAACCUCAGGAUGACUCCUCUUUUUAAUGCCACGAAUUUCGUAAAGCAUUGUUCGUCCAGCUAAUGAUUUGCUGCUUUCCGAAUAUCAUUAUGAUUGUUUGUGUAAAAAUGAUGAUCUGCUCAAUAGGUUCUUUGACAGAUAUAUGUGGAACGACACCAUGUUUUGUGAUAUUAAUUAUACAGUGAGCAGUGUCUUCUAUUGGAGAUGAUCGUUUGAUAUGAUAAUUAUACACUGAGAAAUGUGUUUUUUAUUGGAGAAGAAUGUUUGAUAUGAUUGUCUUUCAUUGUUGAAGUGUGUCUCUUUUAUUGAAAAAGAUUGUUCGUUAAUAGAAAGGAGGAGAUCUAAUUGUAUCAACGAUAUUUUUUUGAUAAUGUAACUGUUGUAAUGAUAUAAUAAAGGCCAGCAAGGUUCUGCCCG
This is a long non-coding RNA of Nicotiana tabacum (common tobacco), 1606 nucleotides long. RefSeq lists it as uncharacterized. NCBI's taxonomy places the organism in Eukaryota, Viridiplantae, Streptophyta, Magnoliopsida, Solanales, Solanaceae. The record is from RefSeq and is a predicted model, not a curated record.